RNAcentral lists this transfer RNA (76 nucleotides) under bacterium. RNAcentral's name for it is "tRNA-Phe". It matches the Rfam family "tRNA". Rfam says of the family: Transfer RNA (tRNA) molecules are approximately 80 nucleotides in length. Their secondary structure includes four short double-helical elements and three loops (D, anti-codon, and T loops). The record is from RNAcentral.
GCCUCGGUAGCUCAGUAGGUAGAGCGUUGGCCUGAAGAGCCAAGCGUCGUGAGUUCAAUUCUCACCUGGGGCACCA